GGAGAGGUGCUGGAGCGGUCGAACAGGCACGCCUGGAAAGCGUGUAGACGCUAAAACCGUCUCGAGGGUUCGAAUCCCUCCCUCUCCGCCA
RNAcentral lists this transfer RNA (91 nucleotides) under Candidatus Eremiobacter antarcticus. Its description in RNAcentral is "tRNA-Ser". It matches the Rfam family "tRNA". From Rfam's summary of the family: Transfer RNA (tRNA) molecules are approximately 80 nucleotides in length. RNAcentral also lists the same sequence under 5 other names. Lineage: Bacteria; Bacillati; Vulcanimicrobiota; Vulcanimicrobiia; Candidatus Eremiobacterales; Candidatus Eremiobacteraceae. The record is from RNAcentral.